Molecule: non-coding RNA, 112 nt
Organism: Acanthosepion pharaonis
Lineage: Eukaryota; Metazoa; Mollusca; Cephalopoda; Sepiida; Sepiidae
Source: the annotation of a GenBank genome assembly
UACGGCCAUAUCAACUUGAAAUACCGGUUCCUGUAUAAUCAUCAUAGUGAAACAGCGAUGAGUCUGGUUAUUACUUAGAUGUGUGUCCGCUUGGGAAUACCAGGUGCUGUAA